AAGCAAUGAGCUGAGUUGAGCAGGGGAAACCGAGCGCGAGCAUGGAGGCGACGGCGGCUGCGGCGGCGGCACCAGCAGCGGCGGCGGAGGAGAGGAGCACGGUGUGCGUGACCGGGGCGGGGGGCUUCGUGGCCUCGUGGCUCGUCAAGCUCCUCCUCUCCACCGCCCGCUACGCCGUCCGCGGCACCGUGCGCGAUCCCAGUAUGUCCAGCGAUCCCCGCUAGCCUCUUGCUCCGAUUCCCCGCCUCCCAGAGCCUGAAGCUGCCACGCGAUCGAAUCGAAGCGGCUAAAUAGGAGAUAUAUUCAAUAGAUCUCCACGAAAUUCGUCUCUACUGCAUCACAGGAACUAGUGCAUGAUCCUCUUGCCAUUGCAGUUCACGAGAAAGUUCUUGGUGCAUACCUGAAUGCUUGUUAGGAUAGGAGCAAGAGGAUCGUAACAGAUUAUAAUGGUGAUGACGUCUGGUGCUACUGCACUUUAGGUGACGGCAAAAAUGCUCAUCUCUUGGCGCUGGAAGGUGCCGGCGAGAGGCUGCAGUUGGUCAAGGCUGACAUGCUGGACUAUAGCAGCGUCGCAUCGGCGGUCGUUGGUUGUGAGGGUGUAUUCCAUGUUGCCAGCCCUGUUCCCUCUGGCCAAUCCUCCAACCCUGAGGAGAUUUGCUGGGUUCAUUAGUUGUCAGCACAUAAAUUUGACAUAUAGCACUGGCAGAUGUUAUAGCUCCUGCUGUAACUGGCACACUGAAUGUGCUGAAAGCUUGCAAGGAGGCAGAAGUGAAGCGAGUCGUCGUGGUGUCUUCAGUUUCUGCUGUAUUCAAUAAUCCAAACUGGCCUAAGGACAAGGCCUUUACUGAGGACAGCUGGUCCAAUGAGGAGUAUUGCAGAAAGAAUGAGGAAUGGUAUUUCCUUUCUAAAACACUGGCAGAGCAUGAGGCUUUUGCUUAUGCAGCAAAAACUGGGCUGGACAUUGUCACUAUUUGCCCAUCAUUGGUAAUUGGACCGUUGAUGCAACAUACAGUAAAUACAAGUGUUAAAGUCUUCCUCAGUUAUAUCAAAGGAGACCAGGAGACAGUUCAAAAUGGAUUCAAGAAUCUAGUGGAUGUUCGUGAUGUCGCUGACGCCCUUCUGUUGGCUUAUGAAAACCCGCUGGCAUCUGGACGGUACCUCUGCAAUUCAUCGCCAAUAAGAGUCUCUGAUAUUGUAAAUAUAUUAAAGACCUCAUUUCCAACAUAUAUUUAUCCCAAAAAGUUCGUGGAAAUUGAAGGCGGCAACACAUAUGACACUGAGAAGCUCCAGAAGCUAGGGUGGACCUACAGGCCUAUGGAGGAAACCCUCCGGGACAGCAUCGAAUGCUACCAACGUUUGGGCAUCCUUAACUGAACAUCCAUCCAGCUGGGUCACCUUUGCCAGGUUUGGCUGCUGGUACUAGCAAACUGUUUGUCUGAACAUGUAAAAAGUGAAGCAGCAUAAGCAUGCGACGGAACCGAACCAGUUAGGGCACCAUGUGAGGUAGUACGGAGGUUAAGAUUAAGAUUCAGAGCACCAUCGUUUCAAUGUUGUCUCUUGGCUUUUGGGCUGACGAACAUGUAUUAUACUACAGGUAUCCCUUGUUAUGUGUUGUAAAUUGAACUGCCAAUUCAGAGUUUUCAGGAACAAAUUCAAGUGGCA
Panicum virgatum (switchgrass) is the source of this 1662-nucleotide RNA transcript. It is a transcript of the gene named cinnamoyl-CoA reductase 1-like, with no coding region annotated. The transcript is spliced from 7 exons. The record is from RefSeq and is a predicted model, not a curated record. NCBI's taxonomy places the organism in Eukaryota, Viridiplantae, Streptophyta, Magnoliopsida, Poales, Poaceae.